CCUACGGGCGGCAGCAGUGAGGAAUAUUGGUCAAUGGGCGCGAGCCUGAACCAGCCAAGUCGCGUGAGGGAAGAAGGUCCUAUGGAUUGUAAACCGCUUUUGUCGGGGAGCAAAAGACGCCACGCGUGGCGUUCCGAGAGUACCCGAAGAAAAAGCAUCGGCUAACUCCGUGCCAGCAGCCGCGGUAAUACGGAGGAUCCGAGCGUUAUCCGGAUUUAUUGGGGUUAAAGGGUGCGUGGGCGGAAGAUCAAGCCGGCGUGAAAAUUGGGGGGCUAAACCUCGUCGUGCCGUUGAAACUGGUUGGCUUGAGUGCGUGAGAGGUAUGCGGAAUGCGUGGUGUAGCGGUGAAAUGCAUAGAUAUCACGCAGAACUCCGAUUGCGAAGGCAGCAUACCGGAGCGCAACUGACGCUCAUGCACGAAAGUGUGGGUAUCGAACAGGAUUAGAUACCCGGGUAGUC
RNAcentral lists this ribosomal RNA (459 nucleotides) under uncultured bacterium. RNAcentral describes it as "partial 16S ribosomal RNA". It matches the Rfam family "Bacterial small subunit ribosomal RNA", at positions 338 to 795 of the family's 1533-position model. The record is from RNAcentral.